GUGCCCGUAACUCAGUGGUAGAGUGUGAGAUUGCAAUUGAUGCACAGUCGAAGCAAAUAUCUUGAAGCCCCGUGUUCGACCCACGGCGGGCACU
Molecule: non-coding RNA, 94 nt
Organism: Marasmius fiardii PR-910
Lineage: Eukaryota; Fungi; Basidiomycota; Agaricomycetes; Agaricales; Marasmiaceae
Source: the annotation of a GenBank genome assembly